RNAcentral lists this ribosomal RNA (396 nucleotides) under uncultured soil bacterium. Its description in RNAcentral is "bacterial SSU rRNA". It matches the Rfam family "Bacterial small subunit ribosomal RNA", at positions 26 to 452 of the family's 1533-position model. The record is from RNAcentral.
AGAACGAACGCUGGCGGCAUGCCUAAUACAUGCAAGUCGAACGAACUCUUCGGAGUUAGUGGCGCACGGGUGCGUAACGCGUGGGAAUCUGCCCCUUGGUUCGGAAUAACAGUUGGAAACGACUGCUAAUACCGGAUGAUGACGAAAGUCCAAAGAUUUAUCGCCAAGGGAUGAGCCCGCGUAGGAUUAGCUAGUUGGUGAGGUAAAGGCUCACCAAGGCAACGAUCCUUAGCUGGUCUGAGAGGAUGAUCAGCCACACUGGGACUGAGACACGGCCCAGACUCCUACGGGAGGCAGCAGUGGGGAAUUUGGACAAUGGGCGAAAGCCUGAUCCAGCCAUGCCGCGUGCAGGAUGAAGGCCUUCGGGUUGUAAACUGCUUUGUACGGAACGAAAGU